Molecule: ribosomal RNA, 301 nt
Filed under: uncultured bacterium
Lineage: Bacteria
Description: partial 16S ribosomal RNA
Rfam family: Bacterial small subunit ribosomal RNA
Source: RNAcentral
CAGCAGCCGCGGGAAUACGAAGGGUGCAAGCGUUAAUCGGAAUUACUGGGCGUAAAGCGUGCGCAGGCGGCUUUGUAAGUUAGAGGUGAAAGCCCGGAGCUCAACUCCGGAAUUGCCUUUAAGACUGCAGAGCUAGCAGGUGAGAGAGGUGAGUGGAAUUCCGAGUGUAGAGGUGAAAUUCGUAGAUAUUCGGAAGAACACCAGUGGCGAAGGCGGCUCACUGGCUCAUACUGGACGCUGAGGUGCGAAAGCGUGGGGAGCAAACAGGAUUAGAUACCCCAGUAGUCCCUGUCUCUUAUAC